CGCCCGCCGGACGAACCUUUUGAACUUUCUCAAGGUUGACCUC
Molecule: ribosomal RNA, 43 nt
Filed under: Neoscytalidium dimidiatum
Lineage: Eukaryota; Fungi; Ascomycota; Dothideomycetes; Botryosphaeriales; Botryosphaeriaceae
Description: partial 28S ribosomal RNA
Source: RNAcentral